GACUCUUUAGCAUAGUGGUUAUUGUACUCGUCUCCAAUGUGAGAAAACAGCAGAAAGCGGGGGGUCGGGCGUUCAACUCGCCCAAGGGUCA
This 91-nucleotide transfer RNA is filed under the name Dictyostelium purpureum. It matches the Rfam family "tRNA". From Rfam's summary of the family: Transfer RNA (tRNA) molecules are approximately 80 nucleotides in length. Their secondary structure includes four short double-helical elements and three loops (D, anti-codon, and T loops). Further hydrogen bonds mediate the characteristic L-shaped molecular structure. tRNAs have two regions of fundamental functional importance: the anti-codon, which is responsible for specific mRNA codon recognition, and the 3' end, to which the tRNAs corresponding amino acid is attached (by aminoacyl-tRNA synthetases). tRNAs cope with the degeneracy of the genetic code in two manners: having more than one tRNA (with a specific anti-codon) for a particular amino acid; and 'wobble' base-pairing, i.e. permitting non-standard base-pairing at the 3rd anti-codon position. Lineage: Eukaryota; Evosea; Eumycetozoa; Dictyosteliales; Dictyosteliaceae. The record is from Rfam by way of RNAcentral.